Molecule: long non-coding RNA, 569 nt
Organism: Patella vulgata (common limpet)
Lineage: Eukaryota; Metazoa; Mollusca; Gastropoda; Patellidae
Exons: 3
Source: RefSeq, a predicted model, not a curated record
UAUUUUCAGAUCAGAAAAUUUAGAGCGUGGGAACAGAUAACAUGUGUGAAAAACAGAGGGUAGCUAUGGUACAAACCAAACCUGACAGGUUGAAGUGGAAGAGUAAAUUCGAGUUUUUACUGUCCCUUAUAGGAUAUAGUGUAGGAUUGGGUAAUAUUUGGAGAUUUCCGUACCUAUGUGCUUUGAACGGUGGAGCGGUAUUCCUUAUUCCGUACGCCAUAUUUAUGUUUUUAUUGGCGUUUCCACUAUCAUUUUUGGAACUGUCAAUUGGUCAGUUUUCUGGUAAAAGUACAUACGAUGUGUGGGAUAUCUGUCCAGCAUUCAGAGGUUUAGGAGUAGCAAUGGUCGUAGUUACGGGCAUCACUUGUUUAUAUUAUACCAUGAUCCUAGCCUGGAUUUUAUACUAUCUGUUUCAUUCCUUCAUGUCUCCAUUGCCAUGGACGACCUGUGAUAACUGGUGGAAUACAGACACGUGCUUUAUUCACCAAUCCAGAACCGACAAUUUGACCAGCACUGGUGGGAACCACACCAAUAAUUUUACAGUCAGUGUCAAUAACAGGAUCGUUCAA